Molecule: ribosomal RNA, 764 nt
Filed under: uncultured bacterium
Lineage: Bacteria
Description: bacterial SSU rRNA
Rfam family: Bacterial small subunit ribosomal RNA
Source: RNAcentral
GCUGGCGGCAGGCCUAACACAUGCAAGUCGAACGGAGUUAUAUUGUAGCUUGCUAUGGUAUAACUUAGUGGCAGACGGGUGAGUAAUGUAUAGGAAUCUACCUAGUAGUACGGAAUAAUUGUUGGAAACGGCAACUAAUACCGUAUACGCCCUACGGGGGAAAAAUUUAUUGCUAUUAGAUGAGCCUAUAUUAGAUUAGCUAGUUGGUGGAGUAAUAGCCUACCAAGGCAAUGAUCUAUAGCUGAUCUGAGAGGAUGAUCAGCCACACUGGAACUGAGAUACGGUCCAGACUCCUACGGGAGGCAGCAGUGGGGAAUAUUGGACAAUGGGCGAAAGCCUGAUCCAGCCAUGCCGCAUGAGUGAAGAAGGCCUUUGGGUUGUAAAGCUCUUUUAGUGAGGAAGAUAAUGACGGUACUCACAGAAGAAGUCCUGGCUAACUCCGUGCCAGCAGCCGCGGUAAUACGGAGAGGGCUAGCGUUAUUCGGAAUUAUUGGGCGUAAAGGGCGCGUAGGCGGAUUAGUAAGUUAAAAGUGAAAUCCCAAGGCUCAACCUUGGAAUUGCUUUUAAAACUGCUAAUCUAGAGAUUGAAAGAGGAUAGAGGAAUUCCUAGUGUAGAGGUGAAAUUCGUAAAUAUUAGGAGGAACACCAGUGGCGAAGGCGUCUAUCUGGUUCAAAUCUGACGCUGAGGCGCGAAGGCGUGGGGAGCAAACAGGAUUANAUACCCUGGUAGUCCACGCUGUAAACGAUGAAUGUUAAAUAUGGGA